AACGCGAAGAACCUUACCCACACUUGACAUCCCUGUAUUGGCUUUCAGAGAUGAUGGCGUUCGGUUCGGCCGGGGAGUGCACGGGUGCUGCAUGGCUGUCGUCAGUCUCGUGUCGUGAGAUGUUGGGUUAACUCCCGCAACGAGCGCAACCCCUAUCGUAUGUUGCCACCAUUCAGUUGGGCACUCAUGCGAGACUGCCGGUGUUAAGCCGGAGGAAGGUGGGGACGACGUCAAGUCAUCAUGGCCCUUACGUGUAGGGCUAGAAACGUGCUACAAUGGUGGUAACAGUGGGCAGCAACGUCGCAAGGCGAAGCUAAUCCCUAAAUACCAUCUCAGUUCGGAUUGUCCUCUGCAACUCGAGGGCAUGAAGUUGGAAUCGCUAGUAAUCGUACAUCAGCAUGGUACGGUGAAUACGUUCCCGGGUCUUGUACACACCG
RNAcentral lists this ribosomal RNA (437 nucleotides) under uncultured bacterium. RNAcentral describes it as "bacterial SSU rRNA". It matches the Rfam family "Bacterial small subunit ribosomal RNA", at positions 958 to 1392 of the family's 1533-position model. The record is from RNAcentral.